UCCCGUUGUUCCCAUUGUUCCCAUUCCCAUUGUUCCCAUUCCCAUUCCCAUUCCCAUUGUUCCCAUUCCCAUUCCCAUUGUUCCCAUUCCCAUUCCCAUUGUUCCCAUUCCCAUUGUUCCCAUUAUUCCCAUUGUUCCCAUUCCCGUUGUCAUUCCCGUUGUUGUUCCCAUUGUCAUUCCCGUUGUCAUUCCCGUUGUCAUUUCUGUUGUUCCCAUUCUCAUUCCCGUUGUUGUUCCCGUUGUUAUUCCCAGUCCGGCUGUUGUCUCCGACACCUCUCGCUGGCCGGGAACCACCUGAGGGACAGCGACGUCCAGGAGCUGACGGGGUCAGGGACACCUGGGGACACCUGGGGACA
This 356-nucleotide long non-coding RNA is filed under the name Parus major (Great Tit). RNAcentral describes it as "lncRNA (ENSPMJG00000004246.1)". Lineage: Eukaryota; Metazoa; Chordata; Aves; Passeriformes; Paridae. The record is from RNAcentral.